AUUGAGUGGGAAUAAGACAUUAAAUUAAUAAUAUUUGUGAAGCCUAUCUUAAAGCGUUUUUCAACUUGUUAAAUGUUUUAAAUGCUUGAUUUAUGAUAGUAUUCACCACCAAAAGACCCCCCCAAGAUAUAUUUCUUGGGGGGUUAAUU
This 149-nucleotide small RNA is filed under the name Bacillus thuringiensis serovar sotto str. T04001. RNAcentral's name for it is "Listeria sRNA rli38". It matches the Rfam family "Listeria sRNA rli38". The record is from Rfam by way of RNAcentral. Lineage: Bacteria; Bacillati; Bacillota; Bacilli; Caryophanales; Bacillaceae.